UACGUAGGUGGCGAGCGUUGUCCGGAUUUACUGGGCGUAAAGAGCGCGCAGGCGGCUGGUCAAGUCCGAUGUGAAAGCUCCCGGCUUAACUGGGAAAUUGCAUCGGAAACUGAUCGGCUGGAAGGUGGGAGAGGGUAGCGGAAUUCCCGGUGUAGUGGUGAAAUGCGUAGAUAUCGGGAGGAACACCGGUGGCGAAGGCGGCCUUCUGGACAGUGACUGACGCUGAGACGCGAAAGCGUGGGGAGCAAACAGG
Molecule: ribosomal RNA, 253 nt
Filed under: uncultured bacterium
Lineage: Bacteria
Description: partial 16S ribosomal RNA
Rfam family: Bacterial small subunit ribosomal RNA
Source: RNAcentral